UCAUGCAGAUCUGGGCAGAUGUAGUGCACGUGUGCAUCAAUGGCUCCUGCUGUCACGAUGAACUUUUCGCCUGCAAUUACCUCGGUACAAGAACCCACGACCAGGUUGGGAUCAACGCCAUCCAUGAUGGCCGGAUUGCCCGCCUUGCCAAUAGCCACAAUGUGACCGUUCCUGAUACCGAUAUCCGCCUUGACAAUGCCCCACCAAUCGACGAUGAGUGCGUUGAUGAUAACAAUGUCCAGCACGGCACUGUCGGCACGACCCGAUGCUUGACCCAUGCCAUCACGCAA
The sequence is a small RNA, 290 nucleotides long. It matches the Rfam family "5' ureB small RNA".